UACGUAGGUGACAAGCGUUGUCCGGAUUUACUGGGCGUAAAGAGCGCGCAGGCGGUCGUUCAAGUCGAGUGUGAAAGCCCCCGGCUCAACUGGGGAGGGUCAUUCGAUACUGAUCGACUCGAAGGCAGGAGAGGGAAGUGGAAUUCCCGGUGUAGUGGUGAAAUGCGUAGAUAUCGGAAGGAACACCGGUGGCGAAAGCGGCGCGCUGGACCUCUUCUGACGCUGAGGCGCGAAAGCCAGGGGAGCAAACGGG
This 253-nucleotide ribosomal RNA is filed under the name uncultured bacterium. RNAcentral's name for it is "partial 16S ribosomal RNA". It matches the Rfam family "Bacterial small subunit ribosomal RNA", at positions 524 to 776 of the family's 1533-position model. The record is from RNAcentral.